This is a long non-coding RNA of Aptenodytes forsteri (emperor penguin), 95 nucleotides long. RefSeq lists it as uncharacterized. The record is from RefSeq and is a predicted model, not a curated record. Lineage: Eukaryota; Metazoa; Chordata; Aves; Sphenisciformes; Spheniscidae. The transcript has 3 exons.
AACACCUGUUUUACUCCUGAACUCCACAAUCCAGCAGCGCUCCAGGAUUAGCACUUCAGAGGCUUCAGAACUCUUAUGUUUCAUUAAAAAAGCAG